RNAcentral lists this ribosomal RNA (2280 nucleotides) under human gut metagenome. RNAcentral's name for it is "bacterial LSU rRNA". It matches the Rfam family "Bacterial large subunit ribosomal RNA", at positions 1 to 2312 of the family's 2925-position model. The record is from RNAcentral.
GAAAGUAAACAAGGGCGCAUGGAGGAUGCCUAGGCUCUCGGAGGCGAAGAAGGACGUGAUAAGCUGCGAAAAGUUACGGUAAGGCGCAAAUAGCCCUAGACCCGUAAAUAUCCGAAUGGGGCAACCCGGCCAGCAAUGGCCAUACCGCCAAGCGGUAAGCCAACGCGGGGAACUGAAACAUCUAAGUACCCGCAGGAAAAGAAAAUAACAAUGAUUCCGCCAGUAGUGGCGAGCGAACGCGGAACAGCCCAAACCACUCGUGUUACGGCACGAGUGGGGUAGAAGGAUCCACGAUACGGCAAGAAAUAAGUUAGCAGAAUACGAUGGAAAUCGUAGCCAAAGACGGUGACAGCCCAGUACGCGAAAACCGACAGAAGCCCAGUGGACACCUGAGUAACCCAGGACACGAGAAAUCCGGGGCGAAUCAGCGGGGCCCAUCCCGUAAGGCUAAAUACUCCCGAGAGACCGAUAGCGAACCAGUACUGUGAAGGAAAGGUGAAAAGCACUUCGAAUAGAAGAGUGAAAUAGUCCCUGAAACCGUGCGCCUACAAGCGGUCGGAGCUGCUUCAGCAGUGACGGCGUGCCUUUUGCAUAAUGAACCUACGAGUUACUUUUUCCGGCAAGGUUAAGGGUCUUGAGACCUGCAGCCGAAGCGAAAGCGAGUCUUAACAGGGCGUUCAGUCGGAAGGAGUAGACGCGAAACCAAGUGAUCUACCCUUGGGCAGGUUGAAGGAUGGGUAACACCAUCUGGAGGACCGAACCAAUAAGCGUUGAAAAGCUUCUGGAUGACCUGAGGGUGGGGGUGAAAGGCUAAUCAAACUUGGAGAUAGCUCGUACUCCCCGAAAUGCAUUUAGGUGCAGCCUUGCGGGUUACUGAUGUGAGGUAGAGCGACUGAUAAGAUGCGAGGGCUUCACCGCCUAUCAAGUCUUGACAAACUCCGAAUGCGCAUCAGUUUUACCUCAGGAGUGAGGGCAUGGGUGCUAAGGUCCGUGCCCGAGAGGAGAAGAAUCCGGACCACCUGCUAAGGUCCCGAAAUGACAGCUAAGUUAAACUAACGAAGUCUGACUGCUAAGACAGCUAGGAUGUUGGCUUGGAAGCAGCCAUUCAUUUAAAGAGUGCGUAACAGCUCACUAGUCGAGGAGUUUGGCGUGGAUAAUAAUCGGGCAUCAAGUAUUCUACCGAAGCUUUGGGAUGUGUAAACAUCGGUAGGGGAGCAUUCCACUCGGCGUUGAAGGUGAGGCGUGAGCCUUGCUGGAGCGUGUGGAAAAGCAAAUGUAGGUAUAAGUAACGAUAAAGGGGGUGGGAAACCCCCUCGCCGAAAGACUAAGGUUUCCUGAUCAACGCUAAUCGGAUCAGGGUAAGUCGGGUCCUAAGGCUCAGCCGAACGGCGAGGCCGAUGGCAGAACCGGUUAAUAUUCCGGUACUACCUCAAGGAGUGACGUGGAGACGGAGCAGUGACAGUGCCGCGGACUGACGGAAUAGUCCGUUAAAGGGUGUAGAUGUUGAUUCCUGCAGGCAAAUCCGCAGGAAGAGUCGAACCUGAUAGUAUGGAGCGUCCUUCGGGACAAUCCAAUAGUGCACGUAAGCAUACUCCCGAGAAAAUCCGCUAAACUUAAUCCUUGUGGUACCCGUACCGCAAACGGACACACGUAGUCGGGUUGAAUAUACUAAGGCGCUUGAGUGAUUCACGGUUAAGGAACUAGGCAAACUGACCCUGUAACUUCGGGAUAAAGGGUCCUCGCUUUACGGCGAGGCGCAGAGAAUAGGUCCAGGCAACUGUUUAACAAAAACACAGGGCUGUGCAAAAUUUCAAGAUGAAGUAUACAGCCUGACACCUGCCCGGUGCCGGAAGGUUAAGAGGAGAGCUUAUCGCAAGAGAAGGCUUGAAUUGAAGCCCCGGUAAACGGCGGCCGUAACUAUAACGGUCCUAAGGUAGCGAAAUUCCUUGUCGGGUAAGUUCCGACCUGCACGAAUGGUGUAAUGAUCUGGACACUGUCUCAACCGUGAGCUCGGUGAAAUUGUAGUAUCGGUGAAGAUGCCGAUUACCCGCGAUGGGACGAAAAGACCCCGUGAACCUUUACUAUAGCUUAACAUUGAAUUUGGGUAAUUGAUGUGUAGGAUAGGCCGGAGGCUUCGAAGCAGGUACGCCAGUAUUUGUGGAGCCGCUGUUGAAAUACGGCCCUUUGAUUAUUUGAGUUCUAACCCGCGGCUGCGGGGACACUGUUUGGUGGGUAGUUUGACUGGGGUGGUCGCCUCCAAAAGCGUAACGGAGGCUUCUA